UCCACUUUGUUCCGGUCUGGGAGGGUUCC
Molecule: non-coding RNA, 29 nt
Filed under: Homo sapiens (human)
Lineage: Eukaryota; Metazoa; Chordata; Mammalia; Primates; Hominidae
Source: RNAcentral